This 99-nucleotide ribosomal RNA is filed under the name Chelonoidis abingdonii (Abingdon island giant tortoise). The record is from RNAcentral. Lineage: Eukaryota; Metazoa; Chordata; Testudines; Testudinidae.
UUUAGCCAUAUCACCCCAUUCUAUGAUCCUGUCAGAUCUUACAAGCUAAGCAGGUCUCUACUUGGAUGGGAGAUCUCUGGGGAACAGAUUUAGUAAGAA